AUAGCAUGGGACCAUUCUAGGACAUGGACUGUCAGAGAUUUUUUAAAAAAGUAUCAAAUUCAUCAGUUAGAAUUAACCAAGUUAAUUAUAGUUCUAGUCGUCUGCAGAUUGUAGUCAGCUAACCAGUCAGUUGACUAAAAACACAUGUAUAGUACAUUGUCCGUCCCACCAAACAUUCAGAAUCACCUUCACUUAAUGUCACACAGAGAACAUCAUUUUGUCAAACUAUUUUUAACUUUUGCAGGCUCUCGAUGAGAAAAUAAUUCAGGAAACUCCCAAGACCACAAGUUCCACAUCAACAAAUGAAACUGUUGAACAGAUGACAAGUGACAAUAGCCAGAUUGAAAUGGCUAUGAGCAACUUGAGCCAGGCAAGGCCAGUGAUUGACCUAGUCACCAGAGUUGAAAAGGAUCUCGAUGAGGAAAUGCCUCAGAAGAGUCCAGAGACCACAAAUUCCCCAUCAACAAAGGAAGUUGUUGAAC
Amphiprion ocellaris (clown anemonefish) is the source of this 482-nucleotide long non-coding RNA. RefSeq lists it as uncharacterized. NCBI's taxonomy places the organism in Eukaryota, Metazoa, Chordata, Actinopteri, Pomacentridae. The transcript has 3 exons. The record is from RefSeq and is a predicted model, not a curated record.